AGAGUUUGAUCAUGGCUCAGGACUAACGCUGGCGGCGUGCUUCAUACAUGCAAGUCGAACGAUGAGGCCCCUUCGGGGGUACAUCAGUGGCGGACGGGUGAGUAACGCGUAGAUAAUCUACCCUUAGCUGGGGGAUAACACCGGGAAACCGGUGCUAAUACCGCAUAAGUGCCAGGCUGCAAUGCCUGUCAUUAAAGUUC
Molecule: ribosomal RNA, 200 nt
Filed under: uncultured bacterium
Lineage: Bacteria
Description: partial 16S ribosomal RNA
Rfam family: Bacterial small subunit ribosomal RNA
Source: RNAcentral